UACGGGGGGGGCAAGCGUUGUUCGGAAUUACUGGGCGUAAAGGGCGCGUAGGCGGUUCGUUAAGUCGGAUGUGAAAACUCUGGGCUCAACCCAGAGCCUGCAUCCGAAACUGGCGAGCUAGAGUUCUGGAGGGGGUAGCGGAAUUCCUGGUGUAGCGGUGAAAUGCGUAGAUAUCAGGAGGAACACCGGUGGCGAAGGCGGCUACCUGGACAGAAACUGACGCUGAGGCGCGAAAGCGUGGGGAGCAAACAGG
Molecule: ribosomal RNA, 253 nt
Filed under: uncultured bacterium
Lineage: Bacteria
Description: partial 16S ribosomal RNA
Rfam family: Bacterial small subunit ribosomal RNA
Source: RNAcentral